UUGAUCUGCUUUUUGAGACAUUAGUUUUACUGUAUUUUCUUAACUUUGUGGCUGUGGGUGCACUUGGGUGCAGUCCCUUUUAAAAGAUCAAAAUAAACAUAAAAUUAAUAGAUCAAUUAAAUAAUCGGUGAUAUUAAAUUACACAGCUGCAGAUGUAAGCAGGACAUGCAAGAAGAUGGUUGCCUCCUCUCUACUAGUUUUGCUUUGGAAAACAGAUGCCCAAUAUCCGGCAGCUGAAGAAGAGGGAGACUAAGACAAGUAAAUGGACCAAAGAAGCCAUGGAGCAGGCCAUGCAGGAGGUGCUGGCAGGCAGGCUCACUGCAAGGCAGGCAGCCCAGAAAUUUGGAAUACCAAAGUCCAGCCUGAGUGAGCGACUCAGUGGACGGGUGGCCGCUGGUUCUGUCCAUGGCCAGAAGCAGUUUCUAACCCCUGAAGAUGAGAAUUCCCUGGUGGAGUAUUGUUUAUACUCUGCCAGUCACAGCUUUCCACUAAUUAAGUCUCAGGUUGUGGCCCACGCUAUGGCCAUUUAUAACUAUCGUAAUCCGGACAAACCAAAGACUGUUCUUGGAUUCAUUUCAGAGAGCGGCACCACCAUCGCCUUGCCACCAAGACAAACAAAAAAAGAAGACUGCCCUUCAGGGCCCCUCCAGCCAACAGCUCUGACCAGUCCAUCGCCAGUCCCUCAGCCGUCUUUGCUCCCAGUUCUGCCUCCCACAGUCCCUCAAUGCUUACCCCCAAGACACCAUCCCACCUGAGCUUGCCUUCCAAGGACCAGCAUCAGCAGAUAGUAGAAGCUUCCAACCUUUGGCAGACCUCCUCCUCGCCUCCAGCUCCCCUGUCAUGUGCUUCCUCCUCCACUGCUGGACCCACAGCAGCCACCAGUCACAUAGCUGCAAAGAGACAAAAACAGGAAAGGAAGAUUUUGCGAUGUGGACAGUGCAGACAGCCUUAUCCUCCACAGGAUCCAGAAGGAUUGGUGUUGUGGGUUCAGUGUGAUAACUGCCACAAAUUGUUUCACACUUUUACACAUUAACACAUUUGUGUAAGCUCAGAGAUGGACCUGGAUGAAGAUCAGUUUUGGUGUUUUUGGUGUCUUGAUGUUUGAUUUUGUUUUAGUCUACUUUUUGUCAUUUCAUAAUAAAUUAAAUUUCUGUUUCUUGAUUUGCUG
This is a long non-coding RNA of Siniperca chuatsi (mandarin fish), 1168 nucleotides long. RefSeq lists it as uncharacterized. The record is from RefSeq and is a predicted model, not a curated record. The transcript has 4 exons. Lineage: Eukaryota; Metazoa; Chordata; Actinopteri; Centrarchiformes; Sinipercidae.